UACGAAGGGGGCUAGCGUUGUUCGGAUUUACUGGGCGUAAAGCGCACGUAGGCGGAUCUUUAAGUCAGAGGUGAAAUCCUGGAGCUCAACUCCAGAACUGCCUUUGAUACUGGCGACCUUGAGUCCGGGAGAGGUGAGUGGAACUGCGAGUGUAGAGGUGAAAUUCGUAGAUAUUCGCAAGAACACCAGUGGCGAAGGCGGCUCACUGGCCCGGUACUGACGCUGAGGUGCGAAAGCGUGGGGAGCAAACAGG
This 253-nucleotide ribosomal RNA is filed under the name uncultured bacterium. Its description in RNAcentral is "partial 16S ribosomal RNA". It matches the Rfam family "Bacterial small subunit ribosomal RNA", at positions 524 to 776 of the family's 1533-position model. The record is from RNAcentral.